RNAcentral lists this ribosomal RNA (253 nucleotides) under uncultured bacterium. RNAcentral's name for it is "partial 16S ribosomal RNA". It matches the Rfam family "Bacterial small subunit ribosomal RNA", at positions 524 to 776 of the family's 1533-position model. The record is from RNAcentral.
UACGUAGGGGGCAAGCGUUGUCCGGAUUUAUUGGGCGUAAAGAGCGUGUAGGCGGCUAGGUAGGUCCGUUGUGAAAACUCGAGGCUCAACCUCGAGACGCCGAUGGAAACCAUCUGGCUAGAGUCCGGAAGAGGCAAGUGGAAUUCCUGGUGUAGCGGUGAAAUGCGUAGAUAUCAGGAGGAACACCGGUGGUGUAGACGGCUUUCUGGACCGUAACUGACGCUGAGACACGAAAGCGUGGGUAGCAAACAGG